UAACGCGUAUGCAACCUACCUUUUACAGGGGCAUAACACUGAGAAAUCGGUACUAAUUCCCCAUAAUAUCUGAGACGGCAUCGUUUCGGGUUGAAAACUCCGGUGGUAAAAGAUGGGCAUGCGUUGUAUUAGCUGGUUGGUGAGGUAACGGCUCACCAAGGCGACGAUACAUAGGGGGACUGAGAGGUUAACCCCCCACAUUGGUACUGAGACACGGACCAAACUCCUACGGGAGGCAGCAGUGAGGAAUAUUGGUCAAUGGACGCAAGUCUGAACCAGCCAUGCCGCGUGCAGGAAGACGGCUCUAUGAGUUGUAAACUGCUUUUGUACGAGGGUAAAUGCAGGUACGUGUAUCUGUUUGAAAGUAUCGUACGAAUAAGGAUCGGCUAACUCCGUGCCAGCAGCCGCGGUAAUACGGAGGAUCCAAGCGUUAUCCGGAUUUAUUGGGUUUAAAGGGUGCGUAGGCGGUUUUAUAAGUUAGAGGUGAAAUCUCGGGGCUCAACUCCGAAAUUGCCUCUAAUACUGUAGGACUAGAGAGUAGUUGCGGUAGGCGGAAUGUAUGGUGUAGCGGUGAAAUGCUUAGAGAUCAUACAGAACACCGAUUGCGAAGGCAGCUUACCAAACUAUAUCUGACGUUGAGGCACGAAAGCGUGGGGAGCAAACAGGAUUAGAUACCCUGGUAGUCCACGCAGUAAACGAUGAUAACUCGUUGU
Molecule: ribosomal RNA, 713 nt
Filed under: uncultured bacterium
Lineage: Bacteria
Description: bacterial SSU rRNA
Rfam family: Bacterial small subunit ribosomal RNA
Source: RNAcentral